RNAcentral lists this transfer RNA (74 nucleotides) under Proteus myxofaciens. RNAcentral describes it as "Cosenzaea myxofaciens tRNA-Ile". It matches the Rfam family "tRNA". Rfam says of the family: Transfer RNA (tRNA) molecules are approximately 80 nucleotides in length. Their secondary structure includes four short double-helical elements and three loops (D, anti-codon, and T loops). The record is from RNAcentral. Lineage: Bacteria; Pseudomonadati; Pseudomonadota; Gammaproteobacteria; Enterobacterales; Morganellaceae.
AGGCUUGUAGCUCAGGUGGUUAGAGCCCACCCCUGAUAAGGGUGAGGUCGGUGGUUCAAGUCCACUCAGGCCUA